Molecule: long non-coding RNA, 888 nt
Organism: Nerophis ophidion (straightnose pipefish)
Lineage: Eukaryota; Metazoa; Chordata; Actinopteri; Syngnathiformes; Syngnathidae
Exons: 7
Source: RefSeq, a predicted model, not a curated record
CAGAAGUCGACACGGAAGUCACAAGAAAGUAGCAAGAAGUAUCAGGAGGUGAAACUUUACUAUGGAUCGAAGAGGACAUGGAUCCCGACCGAAUGUCAACCAGCAGGUUUCGAUAUAAUCAGGUCAUAACCUACUUCUUGUCUUUAUGCAACAACAUGGACAGGAUGGAAAGUCCCCGUCACAUGUCCUCCCGAUAUAAGACACCUCUGGCAGCCUUCAACCCCCCCCCCUCUUCAAGCUUUAAACUGGCCUUGGACAUCUGGCAGACAGACGCUGCAGGAAGGAUGUGGGGGGACGGGACAUAACUCCAGCCUCUGUUGAUGGGGAACUUCACUUCAGGUGAAGCCGCGUCCUACUCGACCAGGUGUUGAGCGGAGAUGGUUUUACGGGCGCAUGCGGCGACCUGUCUGGCCUUUACGAGCCACAGGCGGUACAUCUCGUCUGCCGGGAUUCCAGAUAGAGACCUGUAGCGGCCUGUUGGACACCUUUGGACCUGUUUGGGGGCGGAGCUUGACACUCUAGAAGCUUGGUGGGAUGCCAUAGAAGACAGGUGAAGCUUUACCAUGGAUCAGAGCGGUCAAGCGAACAUGGUUCCCGACCACUUGUCAACCGGCAGGUUUGGGUGAGAAAAUUGUGGUAAAAAGUCGCCUCUUACCAGAGAUCAGCUAAGCUUGCGCCGUCCAUGCAGCUGCCGUCGACUUCCCUCAGAGACUGGCCUCAAGACACCCGUGGACACACCCCCUUUGACUAUCAGGAGAUGAAAGAAGCCCCAGCAGGUUUCCUUGGGGGUGGUAGUUGGAGCAGAAACACCUGGCCGCAGUUACACCUGCCACUCAGCAGAGGGCGUCUUCCCCCCCCCUUCUUUGCCACUUUCUCUUUAAGCAGGUU